This 466-nucleotide ribosomal RNA is filed under the name uncultured bacterium. RNAcentral's name for it is "partial 16S ribosomal RNA". It matches the Rfam family "Bacterial small subunit ribosomal RNA", at positions 28 to 507 of the family's 1533-position model. The record is from RNAcentral.
GACGAACGCUGGCGGCGCGCCUAACACAUGCAAGUCGAACGAGCGAGCGAGAGCUUGCUUUCUCGAGCGAGUGGCGAACGGGUGAGUAACGCGUGAGGAACCUGCCUCAAAGAGGGGGACAACAGUUGGAAACGACUGCUAAUACCGCAUAAGCCCACGACCCGGCAUCGGGUAGAGGGAAAAGGAGCAAUCCGCUUUGAGAUGGCCUCGCGUCCGAUUAGCUAGUUGGUGAGGUAACGGCCCACCAAGGCGACGAUCGGUAGCCGGACUGAGAGGUUGAACGGCCACAUUGGGACUGAGACACGGCCCAGACUCCUACGGGAGGCAGCAGUGGGGAAUAUUGCACAAUGGGGGAAACCCUGAUGCAGCGACGCCGCGUGGAGGAAGAAGGUCUUCGGAUUGUAAACUCCUGUUGUGGAGGAAGAUAAUGACGGUACUCAACAAGGAAGUGACGGCUAACUACGUG